UACGAAGGACCCAAGCGUUAUCCGGAUUUAUUGGGUUUAAAGGGUCCGUAGGCGGUUUUGUAAGCCAGUGGUGAAAGCCCAUCGCUCAACGGUGGAACGGCCAUUGAUACUGCAAGACUUGAAUUAUUGGGAAGUAACUAGAAUAUGUAGUGUAGCGGUGAAAUGCUUAGAGAUUACAUGGAAUACCAAUUGCGAAGGCAGGUUACUACCAAUAUAUUGACGCUGAUGGACGAAAGCGUGGGGAGCGAACAGG
RNAcentral lists this ribosomal RNA (253 nucleotides) under uncultured bacterium. Its description in RNAcentral is "partial 16S ribosomal RNA". It matches the Rfam family "Bacterial small subunit ribosomal RNA", at positions 524 to 776 of the family's 1533-position model. The record is from RNAcentral.